CCGUCGAACUCGUCCUUGAAGAGCCGCUCCGUUCCGAACUUGAGGAUGUCGUCCAGUUCCUGUUUGGACAUGGAGCCCGUCUUGGAUCCGAGACCAGGUCGGACCACCAGAUGAUGAUCAUUAUGGCAAUCGUAGGUCUUAUAUGUUUUGCAGUCAUUUUCCUGUAUUUCUUCUACUGAGCUGGUCUCCAGGGAUCGGACACGCGAGUCCCAGGACCAGACUGCCCCGACGCCGGCCGAACCCCCACCCCCUUCACCCCCUCC
Molecule: long non-coding RNA, 263 nt
Organism: Cyclopterus lumpus (lumpfish)
Lineage: Eukaryota; Metazoa; Chordata; Actinopteri; Perciformes; Cyclopteridae
Exons: 3
Source: RefSeq, a predicted model, not a curated record